This 252-nucleotide ribosomal RNA is filed under the name uncultured bacterium. RNAcentral describes it as "partial 16S ribosomal RNA". It matches the Rfam family "Bacterial small subunit ribosomal RNA", at positions 524 to 776 of the family's 1533-position model. The record is from RNAcentral.
UACGUAGGGGGCAAGCGUUGUCCGGAAUUAUUGGGCGUAAAGCGCGCGCAGGCGGCUUUGUAAGUUUGGUGUUUAAUCUCAGAGCUCAACUCUGAUUCGCAUCGAAAACUGCAAGGCUUGAGUACAGAAGAGGAAAGUGGAAUUCCACGUGUAGCGGUGAAAUGCGUAGAGAAUGUGGAGGAACACCAGUGGCGAAGGCGACUUCUGGGCUGUAACUGACGCUGAGGCGCGAAAGCGUGGGGAGCAAACAGG